UUCCUUCCCAGUUCACAGAACCCACCGAGUGCGAUGGAGUACACCGCAGACUGAGGAAUGCUAAAGUAAAGUUGUUGGAUUCGAUUCUCGAAAGGCUGGAAAAGUUGGUAAAUGUUUGGGAUGCCUCGCGCGUCGUCUGCUCCCGGUAAAAGCAGCGCUGAGCAAAGUGUAGCCAUUUCUCAGCGUACGUGAUACAGAGAAAAUAGCAUCGCAAAGCAGUGGUAACUGUGAUCCGUUCUAAAAAUGGAUUCUACAGAUUGGAUUGGUGGGGGGUUACAUUACAAUCCGUUCAUGUUGAGCACAGUUGGGGACAGGUUUUUCCGAUCACCCUAUGCUCAAAAGUUUCCAAUAUCAGCUCAUUGUUUUGUGGUUGGAGUUGCAUAUGGGUAUUGCUGCUAACUCAUCCAAAUUUGGUAUCUUUUUUUUUUUCUUUUGACAUAUUUUAUACAUUAGCAUGCAGGUGGUGAGUGUGAUUUGCUUGCUGGAAUGCAGAUGGAGAAAUCAUGCACGAAACACUAUGGAGAAAUCUCUUUUGGAGUCUAUAUAAGAUGGAACAAAUAACACAGUACAGGAUUUACAUCAGGAUUUUUACUAAAAUAAAGAUUGCUGUUUGUAUGUUGUGUUGGCUAAUUACUGUUUGUGUGUGUAAUUGAGCUGCUCUUGCCUACUAGGAGGAACUUGAAGAUCG
Molecule: long non-coding RNA, 688 nt
Filed under: Musa acuminata (dwarf banana)
Lineage: Eukaryota; Viridiplantae; Streptophyta; Magnoliopsida; Zingiberales; Musaceae
Description: long non-coding RNA (MACU_LNC005565)
Source: RNAcentral